This 1287-nucleotide ribosomal RNA is filed under the name metagenome. RNAcentral describes it as "bacterial LSU rRNA". It matches the Rfam family "Bacterial large subunit ribosomal RNA", at positions 735 to 2038 of the family's 2925-position model. The record is from RNAcentral.
CUGAGCCAGGAUCAAACUCUACCGGUCCAACCGACUAGUGUUGCAAAACUAGCGGAUGAGCUGUGGAUAGGGGUGAAAGGCUAAACAAACUUGGAAAUAGCUGGUUCUCUCCGAAAACUAUUUAGGUAGUGCCUCAAGUAUUACCGUCGGGGGUAGAGCACUGUUUUGGCUAGGGGGUCAUGGCGACUUACCAAACCAAGGCAAACUCCGAAUACCGAUGAGUACAGCUUGGGAGACAGAGCACCGGGUGCUAACGUCCGGACUCAAGAGGGAAACAACCCAGACCGCCAGCUAAGGUCCCUAAAAUUGGCUAAGUGGGAAACGAAGUGGGAAGGCUAAAACAGUCAGGAUGUUGGCUUAGAAGCAGCCAUCAUUUAAAGAAAGCGUAAUAGCUCACUGAUCGAGUCGUCCUGCGCGGAAGAUGUAACGGGGCUAAGCCAGUUACCGAAGCUGCGGAUUUGCAAUUUAUUGCAAGUGGUAGGAGGGCGUUCUGUAAGCCUGUGAAGGUGUCUUGUAAAGGAUGCUGGAGGUAUCAGAAGUGCGAAUGCUGACAUGAGUAGCGUUAAAGGGGGUGAAAAGCCCCCUCGCCGUAAGCGCAAGGUUUCCUACGCAACGUUCAUCGGCGUAGGGUGAGUCGGCCCCUAAGGCGAGGCAGAGAUGCGUAGCUGAUGGGAAACAGGUCAAUAUUCCUGUACCGAUUACAAGUGCGAUGUGGGGACGGAUCUUAAUAGGUUAUCCGGCGGUUGGAUGUGCCGGUUUAGACAGAAGUAGGCGACACGUAGGCAAAUCCGCGUGUCAUAUACCGAGGCUGUUGAUCGAGCGAGCUUGCUCGCGAAGUAACUGAACGAGGUCCCAGGAAAAGCCACUAAGCUUCAGCUUGUAAUUGACCGUACCGCAAACCGACACUGGUGCGCGAGAUGAGUAUUCUAAGGCGCUUGAGAGAACUCAGGAGAAGGAACUCGGCAAAUUGACACCGUAACUUCGGAAGAAGGUGUGCCCUAGUAAUGUGAUGAGAACAUCUGAGCAUGAAUGGGUUGCAAAAAAUUGGUGGCUGCGACUGUUUAUUAAAAACACAGCACUCUGCAAACACGAAAGUGGACGUAUAGGGUGUGACGCCUGCCCGGUGCUGGAAGAUUAAUUGAUGGGGUGCAAGCUCUUGAUCGAAGUCCCAGUAAACGGCGGCCGUAACUAUAACGGUCCUAAGGUAGCGAAAUUCCUUGUCGGGUAAGUUCCGACCUGCACGAAUGGCGUAACGAUGGCCACACUGUCUCCUCCUGAGACUCAGUU